This is a long non-coding RNA of Drosophila sulfurigaster albostrigata, 452 nucleotides long. RefSeq lists it as uncharacterized. The record is from RefSeq and is a predicted model, not a curated record. NCBI's taxonomy places the organism in Eukaryota, Metazoa, Arthropoda, Insecta, Diptera, Drosophilidae. The transcript is spliced from 2 exons.
CAUUAAUGAGCUGUGUGCUGAAACCAAAGUCGGCGAGCUUUAGACGAUCCUCGGAGAGCAAAAGCACAUUCUCCGCCUUAAUGUCGCGAUGCACGUAGCCGAGACUGUGCUGUAAUUGAGAUUGGCCCACAACGAGCAGCAGCUGCUUGAAGAGCGGCGCCGCAUGAAUCUCACGCAGUGGACCUCCCUGGGUGAUGUGGUUGUAUAACUCGCCUCCGCGUAUCCAUUCCGUGACCAGAUAAACCCGUCCCAGCGUCUCGACCACCUCAAAGAGCCUGCAUUACAUUAAGAACAAGUCAGUCUUCUAUUCUCUUCUCCUCUCCUCCUUCUCCUCAUCUCCUCUUGCGUCUCUCACCUCAAUAUGUUGGGAUGAUGAACACACUCGAGUGUCGCUAUCUCGCUGGAUAGCAUCCGCAAUGCCUUGGCAUCCAGUCCAGCCCGAUCCAAGUCAA